Molecule: ribosomal RNA, 208 nt
Filed under: Clavaria griseobrunnea
Lineage: Eukaryota; Fungi; Basidiomycota; Agaricomycetes; Agaricales; Clavariaceae
Description: partial internal transcribed spacer 2
Source: RNAcentral
AAUAUCUCACCACAAGCAAUCUUGUUUGUUUUGUGAGUGGAUGAUGAAGGUUGCUGGCUCUUGUUGUCAGCUCCUUUUAAAUUCAUGAGCAGGUCUUUGUGGACUUAGCUUUAGUUUGAUAAUUUUCUUUAUCUGAACUAUGCUGAGGAACUUUGGAUCAGCUUUCAAACUGUCCUUUUGAAGGACUGUCUUUUUAUAGACAAUUAAA